RNAcentral lists this ribosomal RNA (291 nucleotides) under uncultured bacterium. RNAcentral's name for it is "partial 16S ribosomal RNA". The record is from RNAcentral.
CUACCGGGGUAUCUAAUCCGGUUCGCUCCCCACGCUUUCGUGCCUCAGUGUCAGAAAUAGCCCAGUAACCUGCCUACGCCAUUGGUGUUCCUUCGUAUAUCUACGGAUUUCACUCCUACACACGAAAUUCCAGUUACCUCUGCUACUCUCGAGUCCGUGAGUUCGAAUAAUAGUCUGUAAGGUUGAGCCUCCAGAUUUCACUACUCGCUUUACGAACCACCUACGCAACUCUUUACGCCCAGUCACUCCGGAUAACGCUCGGAUCCUACGUAUUACCGCGGCUGCUGGCAC